GACGAACGCUGGCGGCGUGCUUAACACAUGCAAGUCGAACGGAAAGGCCUCUUUCGGGGGGUACUCGAGUGGCGAACGGGUGAGUAACACGUGAGUAACCUGCCCUUGACUUUGGGAUAACUUCAGGAAACUGGGGCUAAUACCGGAUAGGAGCUCCUGCUGCAUGGUGGGGGUUGGAAAGUUUCGGCGGUUGGGGAUGGACUCGCGGCUUAUCAGCUUGUUGGUGGGGUAUUGGCUUACCAAGGCUUUGACGGGUAGCCGGCCUGAGAGGGUGACCGGCCACAUUGGGACUGAGAUACGGCCCAGACGCCUACGGGAGGCAGCAGUGGGGAAUAUUGCACAAUGGGUGGAAGCCUGAUGCAGCAACGCCGUGUGCGGGAUGACGGCCUUCGGGUUGUAAACCGCUUUCGCUCAUGACGAAGCUUUGUGUGACGGUAGUGGGUAAAGAAGCACCGGCUAACUACGU
This 466-nucleotide ribosomal RNA is filed under the name uncultured bacterium. RNAcentral's name for it is "partial 16S ribosomal RNA". It matches the Rfam family "Bacterial small subunit ribosomal RNA", at positions 28 to 506 of the family's 1533-position model. The record is from RNAcentral.